RNAcentral lists this ribosomal RNA (296 nucleotides) under uncultured bacterium. RNAcentral's name for it is "partial 16S ribosomal RNA". It matches the Rfam family "Bacterial small subunit ribosomal RNA", at positions 153 to 445 of the family's 1533-position model. The record is from RNAcentral.
GAAAUAUUAGAUAAUACCGAAUGUGCUUAUACGGAUAAAGCCGUAUAAGGAAAGGAGCUACGGCUCCGCUUUAGGAUGGGCCUGCGUCCCAUUAGCUUGUUGGUGAGGUAACGGCCCACCAAGGCGACGAUGGGUAUCCGGCCUGAGAGGGUGAACGGACACAUUGGGACUGAGAUACGGCCCAAACUCCUACGGGAGGUAGCAGCUAAUAAUCUUCCGCAAUGGACGAAAGUCUGACGGAGCGACACCGCGUGAAUGAAGAAGGCUGACAAGUUGUAAAAUUCUUUUGCACAUGA